UUCCGGUUGAUCCCGCCGGAGGCUACCGCUAUUGGAGUUCGAUUAAGCCAUGCGAGUCGCGAGUCUUAGGGACUCGGCGUACCGCUCAGUAACACGUGGGUAACCUGCCCUAUGCUGGGGGAUAACCUCGGGAAACUGAGAAUAAUACCCCAUAGUUCACCACGCCUGGAACGGUGGGUGGAUGAAAGCUCCGGCGGCAUAGGAUGGGCCUGCGGCGUAUCAGGUUGUAGGGGGUGUAAUGUACCCUCUAGCCAUCUACGCGUACGGGUGUUGGGAGACAUCGCCCGGAGAUGGAUUCUGAGACACGAAUCCAGACCCUACGGGGUGCAGCAGGCGCGAAAACUUGGCAAUGCGAGCAAUCGUGACCAGGGAACUCCAAGUGCAUCGGGUAAGACCGAUGCUUUUCUUGACUCUUCAAAGGUCUUGGAAUAAGGGGUGGGUAAGGACGGUGCCAGCCGCCGCGGUAAUACCGGCGCCUCAAGUGGUAGUCGCUUUUAUUGGGCCUAAAACGUCCGUAGCCGGUCUGGUACAUUCGUGGGUAAAUCAACCCGCUCAACGGGUUGAAUUCUGCGAGCACGGCCAGACUUGGGACCGGGAGAGGUGUGGGGUACUCUCAGGGUAGGGGUAAAAUCCUGUCAUCCUGAGAGGACCACCUGUUGCGAAGGCGCCACACUAGAACGGAUUCGACGGUCAGGGACGAAACCUAGGGGCACGAACCGGAUUAGAUACCCGGGUAGUCCUAGGUGUAAACGCUGUGGACUUGAUGUUGGGGGCGCUCCGAGCGCUUUCAGUGUCGAAGCGAAGGUGAUAAGUCCACUGCCUGGGGAGUACGGUCGCAAGGCUGAAACUUAAAGGAAUUGGCGGGGGAGCACUGCAACCUGAGGAUUGUGCGGUUUAAUUGGAUUCAACGCCGG
RNAcentral lists this ribosomal RNA (914 nucleotides) under uncultured marine archaeon. Its description in RNAcentral is "bacterial SSU rRNA". It matches the Rfam family "Archaeal small subunit ribosomal RNA", at positions 1 to 921 of the family's 1478-position model. The record is from RNAcentral.